RNAcentral lists this long non-coding RNA (233 nucleotides) under Solanum tuberosum (potato). RNAcentral describes it as "long non-coding RNA (STUB_LNC005218)". Lineage: Eukaryota; Viridiplantae; Streptophyta; Magnoliopsida; Solanales; Solanaceae. The record is from RNAcentral.
CCCCGAGUCCUAAUUGUUGUAUUUUCGAAGUUGGUUUGAAGGAAAAUUGAUGAAAAGUUGAGUUUUUGGAAAGUUGAGUUUUUAAGAGUUAAAGUUUGGUUAAAAGUGCUAUUUCGAGUCAUUUGGAGUUUCGAGACUCGAAUCGGAUUUUCGUCGAUUCCAGCAGUUUUAGAAUGUCGAAACGGGUCUAUGAGAAUUUACGGAGUCGAAUUUGGAGUUAAAACGAAGAUUUG